This 64-nucleotide transfer RNA is filed under the name Nodularia douglasiae. Its description in RNAcentral is "tRNA-Phe". It matches the Rfam family "tRNA". From Rfam's summary of the family: Transfer RNA (tRNA) molecules are approximately 80 nucleotides in length. Their secondary structure includes four short double-helical elements and three loops (D, anti-codon, and T loops). The record is from RNAcentral. Lineage: Eukaryota; Metazoa; Mollusca; Bivalvia; Unionida; Unionidae.
GGACAAAUAGUUUAAAUUCUAAAACAUAACACUGAAAAUGUUAAAAUGACUCAGUCUUUUUCCA